RNAcentral lists this transfer-messenger RNA (312 nucleotides) under Alphaproteobacteria bacterium. It matches the Rfam family "Alphaproteobacteria transfer-messenger RNA". Rfam says of the family: Bacterial tmRNA, also known as 10Sa RNA or SsrA, is named for its dual tRNA and mRNA-like properties. Its role is to liberate the mRNA from a stalled ribosome. Lineage: Bacteria; Pseudomonadati; Pseudomonadota; Alphaproteobacteria. The record is from RNAcentral.
GGCCUUACAAUCUCAGCCCCGACCCCCUAUAUUAGAUGCGUCUGGCUCGACCGGACUAUGACGAUAAACGGCUGCGUAAUAAGCGGACUGGACCCGGGGGCGGUACCCGGCGCCUCCACCACCUGCCCUCUGAGGAGGCCAGCUGUGGGGGCGAAAUAGGAUCGACAGACGUGUAAAGGCUGACCUUUCGUUCGGUAUGGUAUCCGCCGUUAUCGGGCUGUCUGUAUAGGUGCCAACGACAAUGAAAUGGCCCUCGCUGCCUAAUUAGGCAAGCGCGGCCCGAGGGACGCCGGGCAACAGAAGUCCCUCACC